CCUUGGCUUAAUUUGACUCAACAAGGGAUACCUCACCCGGCCCGGACACGGAAAGGAUUGACAGAUUGAUAGCUCUUUCUCGAUUCUGUGGGUGGUGGUGCAUGGCCGUUCUUAGUUGGUGGAGCGAUUUGUCUGGUUCAUUCCGAUAACGAACGAGACUCCGGCUUGGUAAAUAGUUACGCAGCCCUGUGCGGUCGGCGUUCAACUUCUUAGAGGGACAAGUGGCAUUCAGCCACGCGAGAUGGAGCAAUAAAACAGGUCUGUGAUGCCCUUAGAUGUCCGGGGCUGCACGCGCACCACAGUGGGCAGAUCAGCAGAGCCCCCGUCUGAAC
Long non-coding RNA from Sinocyclocheilus grahami, 332 nucleotides. RefSeq lists it as uncharacterized. The record is from RefSeq and is a predicted model, not a curated record. The transcript has 3 exons. NCBI's taxonomy places the organism in Eukaryota, Metazoa, Chordata, Actinopteri, Cypriniformes, Cyprinidae.